CGCAUAAACAGCAGCAUCCAACAGUUUUGGGGGUGCACACAACAGCCCAUAUGCAUCUAGCUGCUUGGAUUUGGAGGUGCUUUAUUCCACAGUCUGCUUUGCAAAAAGAAAAAGCUGAUGGGCUAUAGAAAGCACAACACGUUACGGAUCCGGCAACAUGGGAAACACGCAACCCUAGGGAAAAUUUAUUCCUAGGACAGCCGCCACUUGGGAGGAGUAUUCUUUUUAGCAUUGAUUUCUUUCCAGCUCAGGGAACCAGAAUGUAGCGUCCAGGAAGACUUUUGAUUUUUGAAGGGGUGCAGCAGCACCCCACGUAGGUGAAUGAAGGGCACGGGUUGCUCCAGCAGCUUUCCUUUUCUUUCUUUUAUUUACGUUAGGAUAGAGAAUGAUAUAUACAUUGUGACGGUGAUUAAAUUAGAAGCAUGUUGAUUUUCUUUUUAUUUAGUUUAUGUUCUUUUUUUAUUUAAGCUUGGAAUCUGUUAUGUUCAUUUAGAUAUUCUCUAAAGUAGCAUUUUAAUUUGCUUAUGUGCUUGAUACGGUAAGUUUCUUUUAAUUCGUAGCUCGUUGUUUUUAAUUUAUGAAGAAACUCAUGGUGAUUUAAUUUUAGAAGAGCACAUGGUUUGCUCCAAA
RNAcentral lists this long non-coding RNA (630 nucleotides) under Vigna radiata. Its description in RNAcentral is "long non-coding RNA (VRAD_LNC016841)". Lineage: Eukaryota; Viridiplantae; Streptophyta; Magnoliopsida; Fabales; Fabaceae. The record is from RNAcentral.